This is a long non-coding RNA of Mauremys reevesii (Reeves's turtle), 564 nucleotides long. RefSeq lists it as uncharacterized. The transcript has 3 exons. The record is from RefSeq and is a predicted model, not a curated record. NCBI's taxonomy places the organism in Eukaryota, Metazoa, Chordata, Testudines, Geoemydidae.
AAAAUCUGUGCUCCAGAAAUAAGACAUCGUCCACCCAUCUGCCAGAAGCCCCGUUCCGUGGAAACCGGAUACUGUGUCAGCAGCUUUGCCUGCGCUGAAUUUGGAAAGUGCUGGGUAAAUCCAAGAGAGGAGUGUGUGCAUGGGACCAUCCGGCCAGGACCCUUUCAGCGAUCCCUCCUCACUGCUGCUGGCAGCUGAUGGUAAAUGGGCCACCAGGGUUGGCAGGCGACCAGCAAAGGAUUGUAUAUUCUGAUGACUGACCCCCCGCCCUGUCCCAGGACAGAACCUGCCUGAGAUCCCAGCAUCAUGAUAACGGCCCACACAUCUAGACAAGCUGCUCAAUGAGAGAGCCCCUGGACUAUGCAUCUCAGCCACGCGUUGUGCAGUAAGGAGCCAGUCUGACUCCGGGCGGUGGUAACAGGAGGAGCAGGACACUGAUUUAUUGUGUUUAUUAAAACUUUAAAAAGCAGUUGGACAUUUUGAUCCCACAAUUUCCACACUUUGCUGGGACGCCCUAAUUCACACUUGGUAGAACUUCAUUCCCGUUGUGUAGCAUCUUGCUAC